This 252-nucleotide ribosomal RNA is filed under the name uncultured microorganism. RNAcentral describes it as "partial 16S ribosomal RNA". It matches the Rfam family "Bacterial small subunit ribosomal RNA", at positions 524 to 776 of the family's 1533-position model. The record is from RNAcentral.
UACGUAGGUCCCGAGCGUUGUCCGGAUUUAUUGGGCGUAAAGCGAGCGCAGGUGGUUUAAUAAGUCUGAUGUAAAAGGCAGUGGCUCAACCAUUGUGUGCAUUGGAAACUGUUAGACUUGAGUGCAGUAGAGGAGAGUGGAAUUCCAUGUGUAGCGGUGAAAUGCGCAGAUAUCAGGAGGAACACCGAUGGCGAAGGCAGGUCUCUGGACUGUCACUGACACUGAGGCUCGAAAGCGUGGGUAGCAAACAGG